Molecule: long non-coding RNA, 334 nt
Filed under: Brassica napus (rape)
Lineage: Eukaryota; Viridiplantae; Streptophyta; Magnoliopsida; Brassicales; Brassicaceae
Description: long non-coding RNA (BNAP_LNC021211)
Source: RNAcentral
GUUAUUGUGGUCAAGGUUGUUGUAGAUUGAAGGGUCCAUAUGCAUAUAGUUUGGAUUAAAAGUUUUGUGGUCAGGGUUGUUGUAGAUAGAAAGGUCUGUAUCCAUAUAGUUUGGAUUAGAAGUUUUGGUCAGGGUUUAAAGUUAUGUGGUCAGGAGGAGUAGUGAUGUGGUCGAGAAGAGGAUAUACGAUUGAUCAUUACCCAUUCUCAUCACAAAUUCUCUUCAUAAAUUUCAAUGAAACUCCCCAGACAUGAAAAAGAUAUGUGCUAGUUUGAAGAACUUCAGUCCUUAAAGAAGUGAUGUGUACCCAAGUGAACAGUCCAAGAGGACCGGA